UUUCCUCUCUGCAGGUGAAUGCACCAAGGAAAGACUUACAGAUUCUUUUUUGUAUGUUUGUUUGUUUUGUUAGUUUAUUUUUAAGAAAAAAGAAAAAAAAGUUUACCCAAGGCUGUGAAGAGGGUUCUGAAUGCUUAUCCCCCAGAUCUAAAAUUUCGCUUAUCCUGCAGACCUCACUCCAUGAGAGAGAGUAGAUAUACUGACCCAGAGAACUUUUCCACCUCAGCGUUUGAGUCUUGGAGCAAAAUACCAACACAAGGUUGAAAAAAAGCAUUGGCAGCCCCAGCCACAUGAAGAUCAGUUCUGUGCCUAUAUCACAUGGAGUGUUGAAGGCAAGAUGGUAUCUGCAGGCCUGAUGAUGGUGGGCUGGGUGCUGCCACAUACACAUCUCCACAAGUUGCCUCAGCAUUGCAGCAGGCUGCUGCCAGCCUGGCCCAUCAGUUAACAUUAUAAGACUUUCUGGAGAUAGCUCCUGAGAAAACAAGCUGUACCUGACUUGAUCAUGUGGCAAUUUGUGCUGGUGGGCUUCUUGCUUUUCACUUCAGACUACAAGGUCUAGCUGUCCAGCUGGGCUGUAACACUGAUUGUUCUCCAGGGCUUCCAGAUCUGUCUGAAGUUAUGAUGAAAAUAUAAAUUAGUUGCAAUUGUAGCUGGCUCCUCCCUACAAGGUGUGUUGUGAGGUGUCUGCGUUGGAUGCAUGGAAAUCUAGAGCAGAAAUGGACAAAGCCCCUGAGAACCAUCUCCCAGACAUUGAAGACAGAAGAAAAGUUCGUCAAACAAGAAUGCUACCAUGGUACUUGAUUCUUAGCAGAAGUAUUAACAUUGCCUUUCUUGUUUGGUUUUCUCCUAACACUCACAAAUGAUUUUUUAGAAAGGUAUAUUAAUAUGUAAGGGAAAAUUUUUGGUGAGUGGGUUGGUUGUAUUGUGGAGAGAUAAAAUCUCUGUGAACAUGAGAGAUGAUCUGUAUGCUGGAGCAGAGGGAGAAUAACUAUCCUUGUUUGGUUUUAUUGGUUUUAUUCAUUUUAUUCUGCUGAUAUUGGCUGUCUGCUGGCUUUUCUUUGCAAAAGCUGAAUGGAAAUUAGGAAGUAUUUGUAUCUGAGGCUCCAUAAAAGAAGCAUCCAGAGUUUGCAUUGACAGUUUAAUCUAAUGACAAAUGCCAGGCACUUUUUUUUUUGUUAUUUCAAAAAAAAAAAUUUUUUUAAAAAUUGUAAGAUUUUUAAAUUACCUCAAUCUGAUUAUAUCAACAUUUCUGGACUCAAGCAGCUUCCAGAUCUUACGUUCAACAUUUCCCCUACUGUUAGCUUCAUACUUGGCUUGCAACAG
Long non-coding RNA from Tympanuchus pallidicinctus (lesser prairie-chicken), 1323 nucleotides. RefSeq lists it as uncharacterized. The transcript is spliced from 3 exons. The record is from RefSeq and is a predicted model, not a curated record. Lineage: Eukaryota; Metazoa; Chordata; Aves; Galliformes; Phasianidae.